Molecule: small nuclear RNA, 182 nt
Organism: Callorhinchus milii (elephant shark)
Lineage: Eukaryota; Metazoa; Chordata; Chondrichthyes; Chimaeriformes; Callorhinchidae
Product: U2 spliceosomal RNA
Exons: 1
Source: RefSeq, a predicted model, not a curated record
AUAUAUAUUUAUAUAUAAUUUGUUCAAAAAAAUCUGUUCCUAUCAGUUUAAUAUCUGAUCAGUGCCCGAUCUGAGGACCAUAUAUUGAAUUGAUUGGAACAGGGAGAUGGAAUAGGGGCUUGGUCCCUCCACUCCACACAUGGACCUGGUAUUGCAGGGUUUCCAGGCACACAGCACUCCUU